This 83-nucleotide transfer RNA is filed under the name Butyrivibrio fibrisolvens. It matches the Rfam family "tRNA". Rfam says of the family: Transfer RNA (tRNA) molecules are approximately 80 nucleotides in length. The record is from Rfam by way of RNAcentral. Lineage: Bacteria; Bacillati; Bacillota; Clostridia; Lachnospirales; Lachnospiraceae. RNAcentral also lists the same sequence under 4 other names.
GCAGGAAUGGCGGAAUGGCAGACGCGCAUGGUUCAGGUCCAUGUGAUAGCAAUAUCAUGAGGGUUCAAGUCCCUUUUCCUGCA